Molecule: transfer RNA, 76 nt
Filed under: Meiothermus sp. QL-1
Lineage: Bacteria; Thermotogati; Deinococcota; Deinococci; Thermales; Thermaceae
Description: tRNA-Gly
Rfam family: tRNA
About the family: Transfer RNA (tRNA) molecules are approximately 80 nucleotides in length.
Source: RNAcentral
GCGGGAGUAGCUCAGUUGGUAGAGCACAACCUUGCCAAGGUUGGGGCCGCGGGUUCAAGUCCCGUCUCCCGCUCCA